This is a long non-coding RNA of Acinonyx jubatus (cheetah), 1869 nucleotides long. RefSeq lists it as uncharacterized. The record is from RefSeq and is a predicted model, not a curated record. The transcript has 5 exons. Lineage: Eukaryota; Metazoa; Chordata; Mammalia; Carnivora; Felidae.
UCCAUCAGGGUCACGCUCCAAGGCGAGGAGAGGCGAAACCAGAGGGAAGACGACUUCCCUCCGGAGGGUAGACGGGCCUGCUGGGAUACUCCCGGAUGACUGCGAAAGGCAGUGGGCGGGCUCCGCAGUUCCGCGGCACGCCGGGAAGAGGUCACUUCCUAGGGAAGGUUCCGGUUCCGGCGUAGGCGGUGGUUGAGUUGCCGUGGCAACGCGGUAACCCGGCUCCGGGUUUCCGCGUUAGGGCCGGCGGCGGGGCUGGAGCCGGCCUGUGCCCGCCUUUCGCAGCCUGGGUGAGCGACGCCGGUACCUCCGUGCGGCCGCGGCGGAAAGCCGCCGUUCGUGGUGGGAGCGGGGCCGGGGCCGGGCGCUGGGGGCCGGGGCGCCCGCGUCGAAGCGGGCGGCCACGUGUCCCGGCUGUGCCUUGGCCGCGCUGCCCGCGUGGGAGCCGAGGCCCGGACCCGGCCCGGCGGCGCCCGCCUCCGGCGUUCAAUUAUAUCUCGAAAAUAACUUUUAAAAUUGUGUAACGUGCUCUCGUGUGCAUAUCCCUUCCGGGUUUGGGGCUUCGUGGACUUUGCAGCCCGCCUCAGUCCUUUGUUGCCUAGGGAGCCACGAGGGAAUUGGUUCCCUGGACAAACGUUUUCUGAGCGGGUGCUGCGUGCUAGGCACGGUGCUUGCGCGGGAUGCCCGGACUUGGUGCCCAGAGCUCGUCAGCGGGAGAAGUGAGAAGCAGCUUCAUGGAUUCCAGGUAAAUCAGAGGAGCAAGCAUCAUGAACAGAAGUAUGUACAGGAAAUGCCGUGGUGCUGAAGCCUAAGCGAUGUUGCAGAAGUCCAGGACCUGGUGCGCUUACCAGUUGGGAAUGUAUUAUUUCCCAAAUCACCUAAUUUUUCCUCAUGCUUAUAGGAGAAAAAUUCGCAGACUUCUCUUCUGAGGAUCCAGGGACGUAGAAAAAUAACGCGAGGUAACACAUCUCGUACCUAGUAUGUAGCAUUGGCUUGGAAGCUUAGUUGUCUUUCUUACUGUCAGACGUUUUAUUGAGAACACAGCUGUCAUCAUAAGAUUACAAGUAAACCCUGAGCAGGAAGAAUACCCAGCCUGCAUUCUGGGAACUUACAAUCGAAUAAAUCUUUCGCCUUCUAAAACCACCAUUGAGGGCGCUUGGGUGGCUCAGUCAGUUGAGCGUCUGACUUGAUUUCAGCUCCUGUCACGAUCUCUCGGUCCGUGGGUUCGAGCCCCACGUUGGGCUCUGCGCUGGCAGCACGGAACCUGCUUGGGAUUUUCUGUCUCCGUCUCUCUCUGCCCCUCCCCUGCUCACGCUCUAUUUCUCCUUCUAAAUAAAUAAACACUUAAAAAAAUAAAAAAUGAAACCACUCUUGGAGUAUUGCCUCCAAACAUUGUGAUUUAAAGAAACGAAGAAGGGGGGCGCCUGGAUAUUUCUUCCAAAGCAUCAAACUCUCAUGUAUGAUUUGGCAUUUUAGUUUUGAGGUGUUUCUUUAGAAAUCUGUUCUAUUAAUGCCUGAAUCACUAUAUUGUACACCUGAACCUGAUGUAAAACUAUGCAUUGACUAUACUGGAAUUAAAAGCAAAACUAUUUUCUAUAAUGAAAACAUGACAAAAACCGUUGUCAGAAAUCUGCUUUUAUGCUUCAAUGUAUUUUGGGCGUUUUGAGCACGUAAGUCAAUUAUCUUUAUCAGUUCGUGAUGUCUCCCAUGUGAACAUUAGUAGAAGGUGGAGGUGGGAAGUACACAGAAAGUUAUUUAAAUCCUGGGAUUUUGGUCACAAAAUGUAAUUAGACCACAAACUAAAUGAUCGUGCCAUGUAUAAACAUGCUGGCUCAGGCAUCCUCAAAACGUUUUUCUCUCUGUGCUUAU